GACGAAACGCUGGCGGCGCGCCUAACACAUGCAAGUCGAACGGAGCAUACGGGAGGAAGUUUUCGGACGGAAUCUGGUAUUGCUUAGUGGCGGACGGGUGAGUAACACGUGAGCAACCUGCCUAUCAGAGGGGGAUAACGAUUGGAAACGAUCGCUAAUACCGCAUAACGCAGCGAGGAGGCAUCUCUUGCUGCCAAAGAUUUAUCGCUGAUAGAUGGGCUCGCGUCCGAUUAGAUAGUUGGUGAGGUAACGGCCCACCAAGUCGACGAUCGGUAGCCGGACUGAGAGGUCGAACGGCCACAUUGGGACUGAGACACGGCCCAGACUCCUACGGAGGCAGCAGUGGGGAUAUUGCACAAAUGGGGAAACCCUGAUGCAGCGACGCCGCGUGAGGGAAGAACGGUCCUCUGGAUUGGUAAACCUCUGUCUUCGGGGACGAAACGAGACGGUACCCGAGGAGGAAGCCACGGCUAAACUAACGUGCCAGCCGCCGCGGUAAU
Molecule: ribosomal RNA, 500 nt
Filed under: uncultured bacterium
Lineage: Bacteria
Description: bacterial SSU rRNA
Rfam family: Bacterial small subunit ribosomal RNA
Source: RNAcentral